Molecule: long non-coding RNA, 458 nt
Filed under: Hordeum vulgare
Lineage: Eukaryota; Viridiplantae; Streptophyta; Magnoliopsida; Poales; Poaceae
Description: long non-coding RNA (HVUL_LNC002829)
Source: RNAcentral
CUUUUCUCCCUUCUGAAGUCUGAUCCUGUGGAUCAUUUAUUCAUUUACUCAAUUAUUCCAGCUGUGUCACCCCAAAGUCUGAGCAGAUGUGGUUGAGAUUUGAGAUUGAAGAGGCAGUGAUCCACUAGGAAAUGGGAAAGGGCAGUCAUUGUUACUGAUUUUUUGUUAUAUUUUGCCAGUGUGCAUAUGUGGAGGCGGCUGCCCUGGCCAACCUGCCGACACCCAAAGAAAGAUAUCCACAUGGCGGAAUGGUACGCGCCUACGUGGGGCCUGCGAGAGAGAUGUAUGUUCGUGGGAUCGAUCGAGCUCAUCGUGUAGACAAAACCAGCCUGGUAAUGGCAGCGAGGUCGAUCUGGAUAAGUUCAUGUGUGGCCUGCCUGCCUGCCUCAAGACUGGCCUUUCAACCAAUCGAUGCAGGCCACUUGGGACUGCAACAUGUGGGUAGGACCGGCCAAUGG